Molecule: non-coding RNA, 74 nt
Filed under: Hallella bergensis DSM 17361
Lineage: Bacteria; Pseudomonadati; Bacteroidota; Bacteroidia; Bacteroidales; Prevotellaceae
Description: L13-Bacteroidia ribosomal protein leader
Rfam family: L13-Bacteroidia ribosomal protein leader
Source: RNAcentral
AGGGGCACGCUUAGAGCCCCUCGCACCUUGUGUUAAUAGUGAUGCCUUUGGCCGGGCAUCACGGUUAGUGAAUC